CCUACGGGGGGCAGCAGUGGGGAAUAUUGGACAAUGGGGGCAACCCUGAUCCAGCCAUGCCGCGUGUGUGAAGAAGGCCCUCGGGUUGUAAAGCACUUUCAGUGAGGAAGAACGCCUGGUGGUUAAUACCCAUCAGGAAAGACAUCACUCACAGAAGAAGCACCGGCUAACUCCGUGCCAGCAGCCGCGGUAAUACGGAGGGUGCGAGCGUUAAUCGGAAUUACUGGGCGUAAAGCGCGCGUAGGUGGCUUGAUAAGCCGGUUGUGAAAGCCCCGGGCUCAACCUGGGAACGGCAUCCGGAACUGUCCAGCUAGAGUGCAGGAGAGGAAGGUAGAAUUCCCGGUGUAGCGGUGAAAUGCGUAGAGAUCGGGAGGAAUACCAGUGGCGAAGGCGGCCUUCUGGACUGACACUGACACUGAGGUGCGAAAGCGUGGGUAGCAAACAGGAUUAGAUACCCGAGUAGUC
RNAcentral lists this ribosomal RNA (465 nucleotides) under Vreelandella stevensii. RNAcentral's name for it is "partial 16S ribosomal RNA". It matches the Rfam family "Bacterial small subunit ribosomal RNA", at positions 338 to 795 of the family's 1533-position model. The record is from RNAcentral. Lineage: Bacteria; Pseudomonadati; Pseudomonadota; Gammaproteobacteria; Oceanospirillales; Halomonadaceae.